Molecule: ribosomal RNA, 260 nt
Filed under: uncultured bacterium
Lineage: Bacteria
Description: partial 16S ribosomal RNA
Rfam family: Bacterial small subunit ribosomal RNA
Source: RNAcentral
GACAGAGGAUGCAAGCGUUAUCCGGAAUGAUUGGGCGUAAAGCGUCUGUAGGUGGCUUUUUAAGUCCGCCGUCAAAUCCCAGGGCUCAACCCUGGACAGGCGGUGGAAACUACCAAGCUGGAGUACGGUAGGGGCAGAGGGAAUUUCCGGUGGAGCGGUGAAAUGCGUAGAGAUGGAAAAGAACACCAACGGCGAAAAGCACUCUGCUGGGGCCGACACUGACACUGAGAGACGAAAAGCUAGGGGGGGAGCAAAUGGGG